RNAcentral lists this ribosomal RNA (509 nucleotides) under uncultured bacterium. RNAcentral describes it as "partial 16S ribosomal RNA". It matches the Rfam family "Bacterial small subunit ribosomal RNA", at positions 28 to 523 of the family's 1533-position model. The record is from RNAcentral.
GACGAACGCUGGCGGCGCGCUUAAUACAUGCAAGUCGAGCGAGAACUAGGGCUUCGGCCCUGGGGACAGCGGCGAACGGGUGAGUAACACGUGGGUAAUCAACCCCCGACACCGGGAUAGCCCAGGGAAACUUGGAUUAAUACCGGAUGCCCCAUCUGGCUUUCGAGCCGGCUGGCAAAGGGUAGCUUCGGCCUCCGGUCGGGGACGAGCCCGCGGCGGAUUAGCUUGUUGGUGAGGUAAAGGCUCACCAAGGCGACGAUCCGUAGCUGGUCUGAGAGGACGAUCAGCCACACUGGGACUGAGACACGGCCCAGACUCCUACGGGAGGCAGCAGUAGGGAAUCUUGCGCAAUGGGCGAAGGCCUGACGCAGCGACGCCGCGUGAGGGAAGAAGGCCUUCGGGUUGUAAACCUCUUUCAGGAGGGACGAAGCCACUCGGGUUAAUAGCCUAGAGGGUGACGGUACCUCCAGAAGAAGCCCCGGCUAACUACGUGCCAGCCGCCGCCGUAA